AGAAGGAGCGAAGCUCUGGCCCGGCGUGGAGCGGGCGCACUACGGGGACGCUGGGCCGGGCACCGGGCUGUGUGGAGAAGUGAGCGCGCUCGUCUGACCCCCGUGCCCGCCACCCCGAGCCACCAACGGCGAUCUCCCAAGGCCUGCCCGAGGCCUCUGUCCUCUGUCCUCAGCCCCGCAGCGGCGACGUCUUGCACUCGGCGAGCUCGCCGCUCCCGACCCUCCCGCGCCCCCGCCCUGCCGCGCUGCUCCCCGCCCAGCCGCGGGUCUGUGGUCCAAGCCGCCCCGAAGCAGCCCCUUCCCAGGAGACGUGUCAACAUUUUUGGUGAAGAACUUGAAAGACUUCUUAAGAAGAAAUAUGAAGGGCACUGGUAUCCUGAAAAGCCAUACAAAGGAUCGGGGUUUAGAUGUAUACACAUAGGGGAGAAAGUGGACCCAGUGAUUGAACAAGCAUCCAAAGAGAGUGGUUUGGACAUUGAUGAUGUUCGUGGCAAUCUGCCACAGGAUCUUAGUGUUUGGAUCGACCCAUUUGAGGUUUCUUACCAAAUUGGUGAAAAGGGACCAGUGAAGGUGCUUUACGUGGAUGAUAAUAAUGAAAAUGGAUGUGAGUUGGAUAAGGAGAUCAAAAACAGCUUUAACCCAGAGGCCCAGGUUUUUAUGCCCAUAAGUGACCCAGCCUCAUCAGUGUCCAGCUCUCCAUCGCCUCCUUUUGGUCACUCUGCUGCUGUAAGCCCUACCUUCAUGCCCCGGUCCACUCAGCCUUUAACCUUUACCACUGCCACUUUUGCUGCCACCAAGUUCGGCUCUACCAAAAUGAAGAAUAGUGGCCGUAGCAACAAGGUUGCACGUACUUCUCCCAUCAACCUCGGCUUGAAUGUGAAUGACCUCU
RNAcentral lists this small RNA (889 nucleotides) under Pan troglodytes (chimpanzee). RNAcentral describes it as "processed transcript". Lineage: Eukaryota; Metazoa; Chordata; Mammalia; Primates; Hominidae. The record is from RNAcentral.